AAUAAGCGCACAUGGUGGAUGCCUUGGCGAUAAGAGGCGAUGAAGGGCGUAGAAGUCUGCGAUAAGCGUAGGUUAGCUGACAAACGAGCUAUAACCCUGCGAUUCCCGAAUGGGGCAACCCACUUACCUUUUGGUAAGUAUCCUUAAGUGAAUACAUAGCUUAAGGAGGCGAACCCGGCGAACUGAAACAUCUAAGUAGCCGGAGGAAAAGAAAUCAACCGAGAUUUUCCUAGUAGCGGCGAGCGAACGGGAAACAGCCUGCAAGUGAUAUUUAACGUUUUAGUGGAACAGUCUGGAAAGUCUGACGAUACAGGGUGAUAGUCCCGUACACGAAAAGGCGUUAUUGGUACUAAGCUUGCGACAAGUAGGGCGGGGCACGAGAAACCUUGUCUGAACAUGGGGGGACCAUCCUCCAAGGCUAAAUACUCCUGACUGACCGAUAGUGAACCAGUACCGUGAGGGAAAGGCGAAAAGAACCCCUGUGAGGGGAGUGAAAUAGAACCUGAAACCGUAUACGUACAAGCAGUGGGAGCCCUUCGGGGUGACUGCGUACCUUUUGUAUAAUGGGUCAGCGACUUAUAUUUAGUAGCAAGGUUAAGUGAAUAACGGAGCCGUAGCGAAAGCGAGUGUUAACUGCGCGUUUAGUUGCUAGGUAUAGACCCGAAACCCGGUGAUCUAGCCAUGAGCAGGUUGAAGGUUGAGUAACAUCAACUGGAGGACCGAACCCACUAACUUUGAAAAGUUAGGGGAUGACUUGUGGCUGGGGGUGAAAGGCCAAUCAAACCGGGAGAUAGCUGGUUCUCCCCGAAAUCUAUUUAGGUAGAGCCUCGGACGAAUUCCAUUGGGGGUAGAGCACUGUUAAGGCUAGGGGGUCAUCCCGACUUACCAACCCUUUGCAAACUCCGAAUACCAAUGAGAACUAUCCGGGAGACACACGGCGGGUGCUAACGUCCGUCGUGGAGAGGGAAACAACCCAGACCGCCAGCUAAGGUCCCCAAGUACCAGUUAAGUGGGAAACGAUGUGGGAAGGCUCAGACAGCUAGGAGGUUGGCUUAGAAGCAGCCAUCCUUUAAAGAAAGCGUAAUAGCUCACUGGUCGAGUCGGCCCGCGCGGAAGAUGUAACGGGGCUAAGCGAUAUACCGAAGCUGCGGAUGCAUGUUUACAUGCAUGGUAGGGGAGCGUUCUGUACGUCUGUGAAGGUGAGUCGUAAGGCUUGCUGGAGAUAUCAGAAGUGCGAAUGCUGACGUGAGUAACGAUAAUGCGGGUGAAAAACCCGCACGCCGGAAGACCAAGGGUUCCUGCGCAACGCUAAUCGGCGCAGGGUGAGUCGGCCCCUAAGGCGAGACCGAAAGGUGUAGUCGAUGGGAAACGGGUUAAUAUUCCCGUACC
Molecule: ribosomal RNA, 1389 nt
Filed under: Symbiodinium sp. CCMP2430
Lineage: Eukaryota; Dinophyceae; Suessiales; Symbiodiniaceae
Description: partial Bacterial large subunit ribosomal RNA
Rfam family: Bacterial large subunit ribosomal RNA
Source: RNAcentral